Small nucleolar RNA from Acinonyx jubatus (cheetah), 152 nucleotides. NCBI's taxonomy places the organism in Eukaryota, Metazoa, Chordata, Mammalia, Carnivora, Felidae. The record is from RefSeq and is a predicted model, not a curated record.
CCUGCACAUUAUUGCAGCUUGGAGUUGAGGCCACUAGCUGGCCAAUGAACUAACAAAUGUAUGUAGUGUGUUACAUGAGGGGCAUGUCCUUUGCUAACACCAUAAGUGUCUGGUCCAAUGAGUGGAGUUUGAUAGUAAUUAUUGCUACAAGU